This 34363-nucleotide long non-coding RNA is filed under the name Physcomitrium patens. RNAcentral's name for it is "long non-coding RNA (PPAT_LNC009744)". The record is from RNAcentral. Lineage: Eukaryota; Viridiplantae; Streptophyta; Bryopsida; Funariales; Funariaceae.
AAAAAAAAAAAAAAAAAAAAAAAAAAAAAACCUCUAAAAUAUAAAAAAUUCUAAAAAUAAUAUUACUUUAAAAAUAAAUAAUCUACAAUUACUAAUGUAUAUAUGUCUUAUAAAGAAAAAGAUGUAAUAUAUUUUUAAUCAAGAAAAGAUAAAAUUUUAAUAUUAUAAAUAUAAUUUUAUCAAAUUAAUAAGGAUAAUAAAUCAAAUAAUAUAAAUAAAUAAGUAAAAUAUUUUGAAAACAAUAAAAAUAAAAUAAAAUAAUUAUAUAUAUAUAUAUAUUAAAAAAAAUUAAAAUAAUUUUUGUCAAAGACUAGAAAACUAAAGAUCCUUCAAACUAGAUUAUAAGUAAGAAAAGAAUUGACAAGACUGAGAAAGGUCUCACUCUUGCUUCUACAUAUGCUAUCUAAUUAGGAGUUAUAUGACAACAUUCUAUAAAACCUCUAACAUGUAUCAAAUUUGUAAGACAUAUGUUUAAUUUGCAAAGUAAGUUGCUUGUAUAUAUGCCACAUGUCCAAUUUGUAUUGGAAGUGGCCAACAUGUACAAUACAUGGCCAAGUUGUUAGCCAAGUUUUCAAUCUAUCAAUUACCUAUAGACAUAUAUAAAGAUAUCAAGGACAUGAAUCUUGAAGAAAAAACAUCCUCAAUAUACUCUUAUAUCACUAAAAAAAAUUAAAAAUUCAUUUAAAGAAAAUAUUGUAUUAGAAUGGCUAUUUCCAAAAACAAAAAGAUUGGGAAGUCUUAAAACAAGAAUAAAGACUAGAAAGGUAUUGACAAGAGUGAAGAAGGCUUCACUUUUGCCUCUAUAUAUGCUCUUAACUAGCAGCUAUGUGGUGAUAUCCUAUAGGACCUCCAAAAUGUGCUGACUUUGUAAGACAUGUAUCUUAACUUGCAAGAUAAGUUUUUAUAUGUGCUCCACAUAGUUAGCUUAUUUGACAAACUAUCAAUAUGUGAUUAAUUUGUUGACCAAGUUUUUAACCUAUCAAUCAACUAUAAACAUAUGUAAAAUCAAAGUAGCAUCUAUGAAGCUUUUAAAAAGCUUCUCUAGAAGAUAUUAUGAAAUUUAUCUAUUUUUACUUACUUCUAUCUAAUUAUAUAGGUAUUUAUUAGAAUACUUAUAUAUACAUAUAUAUACAUAUAUAUAUAUAUAUAUAUAUAUAUAUAUAUUUGUGACAUUGCCUCAUCUUCUAAAGACAAGUUCCACAAGGAGCAGUCUUCAUAUAUUGAAGAAAUCUAAGAUACGAUGAAUUCUAUUUGUUCAUACUUUAAUAUUUGUUCUAUUUGAAGAUGGUUGAUAGGUCUUCUCAGCCAUUGAUAAUAUCUCAUACUAGGGCAAAAAGACCACCUUGUUAAUUGGUUGUUAUUGAGGCCUUUAUAACUUCUUUCAAAUAAACCUUUGAAAUACCAUCAAGAACUAUUCCUAUCUCAAAUAAUAUCACUAAACAUCAAGAGUCUCUUUGAAGUUUGUAAUACCAAAUAUGUUGUAUCUCACCAUCUAUUCAAAGAAGGACAUGUCAUUCUUGAAGAACUUCAUCCCGAUUUCAUUGUCUUGAAAGUUGUGACAAUCACAAUGUCUCAACUGGUAAGUCUACAAAUAAAAGCUCUUGAGUUGAAUUUGCUAGUUGUUGGUUCUCCAUCUCUUUAGCAUUACAAAUACACAAAAGUUAGAAAGACGAAUAAAAAAUAGAGUUUUAUAUUUCUUUGAUCUUGUUUCUUUUAUAGAAAAGAUUUAUUAUUCUUCAUCUUAGUUUUGAUGAAUAUUGUCAAUAAAAAGUUUCAACUCUCUUUGCUACAUUUGCAAGAUUUUGUGUUGGCUCCCAUGUCCAUUCAUUAAUAUCAUAUCCAUCCUAAUAAACAAGAUAUUCUAACAUAUUUCAGCACCGCCUUAAAUCUAAGUCUUCUUCUACCUCAAACUCUUAAUUAUUAUCCACUUCUAUAGGAAGAGGUGGUAUUUGUCUUCUUUUCAAGAUAUUCACUGUCUUAUAUGGCUCAAAAAGAGACACGUGAAAUACAUAGUAGAUCUUCAUAGACUCCGAUAGAUAUAAUCAAUAAACAAUAGGCUUGACUUGUUUGCUAAUAAAAAAAGGUUCAAGCCAAUGAUAGUCUAACUUAUUACAAAGAUGAAUAGUCUUGAUACUGCAAUGAAGUAAUUAUAUUUUAUGACCUACAUUAAAUGGUGGUUAUUUCUUAUGAAAGGCAUCUCCAUUAAUCUUUUGUCAUUUUUGAGCUCCCUUUAAUUACGCCUUCAUUGUUGUAUGUAGCUAUGACAAACAAUUUGUCAAAUCUUCCACCACAAGAUUAUUAACUUUUGAAAAGUCAAAAAUAUCAAGUCAUGGAUGAUAAUAAUAUUUGGCAAAAAAAGGUGUUUGUUGAAUGGAAGAAUGUACCAAAUUAUUAUAUGCAAACUCUGCCAAUGAUAAAAGAGUUGUGCAAUCAUCUUGAUGAUAGUUAAUGGUACACUUCAAAUAUUGCUACAAAACUUAAUUUUCUUAUUCUACUUGUCCAUCAAUUUUGCAGAUGAAAAGCCAAAGAGAACUUUAGAUCCACCUUUAAAAUUUUGCAAAGGAUUUUUGAAAAUCUUGAUAUAAAUUGAGUCUUCUUAUCCAAUAUAAUAUCUUUAGGCAAUCCGUGAUAGUGAUAGAGAUUAUUAAAAAAAAACUUAGCUAUUUUUUCAUCUAUGAUACAUUUUGUAUAUGGUAUAAAAUAUUCCAUCUUAGUAAAACAAUCUAUUACUACAAAGACAAAAUCAUACAAACCUAAGAUUGGAAGAUCCAUAAUAAAAUCCAUAGAAAUAAAAGGCCUCAGUUGUUUUGAAAUAGGUAAAAGUUAUAGAAGUCCAUAAGGUCGAUAGUGAAGAGUUUUGGAUCUUGAACAAAUAUCACAUGAUUGUAAAAGGUUUUUGACUAUCUUCCACAUUUGAGGACACCAAAAAUCUCUUGAUAUUAGCUCUAAAGUCUUGUUGUAUCCAAAUUUUUGUUGCUCAAAGGUGAAAAUAUUUUAGCUUCAAGAGAAUCAUUUUUUUUUUUUUUUUUUUUUUUUUUUUUUUGUACAAGAUAAGAAUGUCUAAAAAGAGUGUUCAACAAAUCUUGUUAUUUUUUGGAUUGAUAAGUGACCUUGAAAUCAAAUUUUGAUAAGGACAUACUUCAAUUAAUUUGGCAAUAAUUUAAAAUAUGUGCUAAUAUGAAAUACUCAAGAUUCUUAAAAAUUGUAUACACGAUGACUAGAUUUGAGGCGCUUUCUAAAUGAUGAUACCAUUCUUGAAAUGAAUCCAUGAUUAUAAGGAGCUCUUUGUCAUGGAUCUCAUAAUUAAUUUUGGCUGCUAAAAAUUUUUUGGAAUAAAAAGCUACUAAAUAGAGUUUGUAAUCUGCUCCCAUUUGUGAUAAUACUACAUCCAAGGCAAAGUUUGAUCCAUCUAUUUCUAUAAAAAAAUACCUUGGAUAAAUUGACACAAUAUAAGAUUAGUGCACAAGUAAAUUCUUUUUUUGAAGCAUCAAACCAUGCUUUGGAUUCUUUACUCCACUCAAGUUUGUUUUUACAAAUCAAACAUGUAAGUGAAGCUGCAACUUAAGAAUUUUUUUAAUAAAGAUAUGAUAGUAAUUGACAAAGCCUAAAAAACAUUACACAUUUCUUAUUAUUCUUGGAAUCUCCCAAUCCAUGAUAGUCUGGACCUUCUUUGGAUCCAUCAUUAGUCCUUUAUUGAAAAUGAUGUAUCCUAAAUACAAUUAGGGCUAGCACUCUUGGCUAGUUCCCAUAAUUGGUAUCACAUCUAUAAUUUAAAAUUUGAUGAUAUUUAGUUGAUUGGUUGUAAUAAGUGUAUGUAAAAUUUUGUAUCAAUUUAAUAAUGCAAUUGAGAGAUAUCUAGGUUUUGAUACAAAAGGGUAUUAGAAGUUGGUAGUUUGGAGUUGGGUAGGAUUUCUAUAAUAUCUAAAGAUCUACUAAUUGGAUCAAGAUGAAAUUUUUCAUAGUAUUGGAAGACUUCAAUAUCAAGCUACACACUGAUUUUGAAUUGAAGUUUACUAUUGAAGAAGGAGAAAUUGCUACUAGAACAUUUGCAUCAACUUUCAAGUUGGCGGCCAAGUGACAUCAAUACAGUUUUUGGACUUUUUUUCACAAUUUGUAAGUUGAAUUGGGUUGAAUUUUUUUGAGUAUAAAGAAGAAUUAUAGUAACAUUUUGUACCAAGUAGACAAUCAAAUUAGGAGUUAGGGCUUAUAAAGAUAAAUCAAAAUUAUCUAACUAUAAAAAUAAUAAGACAAUUGGAGUUUAUAUAUGAUUGAGGUUAAUAAAAAUAGUCUUUUUGAGCACUUUAUACUGAUUUUAAGUACUUUUUAAUUAAAAUUCGAAUUGCAUUCUUCUUAUAUAGAUAAAACCUAUUAAGGUUUCCUAAAUAUUUAUAAAACAUAACUUCACCUUACAUAGCCAAGUGCUUGAUUCAGUUCCAAACAAGACAGCAUAUAAUACAAUAGUCGUGCAUUCUCAAAUAAGAAAUUAUGUAAUACAACAACAUGUUAUUGUAUUACAUGAAAUUUGCUUAAGAAUUUACUAAAUACUUGGCUGUAGAAGAAAAAAUAGAACUUGCAAUAAGUUGAUCAUAAUAAUUAUAAUAGAAUCCUAAACAAAAUUCAAUCAAAUUAUAAAAAUUCUAAUCAAUUUUUAAUUAAAUCCAAAAGAAGUCUCAAGAACUUAUAAAAAAAAACAUAAAGAAAUCAUAAAUUCAUGUUAACAAAAUAAAUAUAAUAAAAAAAUCUUAAAUAAGUAUUAAAAUUAAAAAUCUUAAUUGAAUCUUAAUUAAAUUUUAAUAUAACUUUCAUUAAAUCCUAAUGAAAUCCUAAACCAAUUUAAAUCAAACCUUAAUAAAAUCCUAAAUCCUAAAAAAAUCCUAAGUAAAUUCUAAAUCUCAAUUUUAGACCAAAUCUUAAUCAAACUCUAAGUCCUAAUUAUAGAUCAAAUUCCAAUAAAACCAUAAAUCCUGAUCAAAUCCUAUCAAAUCUUAAAAAAAUCCAAAUCAAAUUCUAAAAAACUCCUAAAUCUUAAUCUUAAAGCAAAUCCUAAUGAAAUCUUAAAUCUUAAAUAAUUCUCAGAAAAUUCCAAGUAAAUUUUCAUUAAUUAUUAUAAUUAUUUGAAUCCUCAAUAAAUAUCAAUUAAAUUAUAGAUCUUGAAUAUAAUUUUGUCCAAAUUUCAAAUAAUAAGUAUUUAACAAGCAUACAAAAUUUGAGAAAAAAUAGACUUAUCAAUUGCAAGAAAAGCUUCUAAAACCUUUUGGUCAUUGGCCACCCUCCCUCUUUAACUUGAAUGUUGAUCUUUCAACACCAAUUUUUUAUUUUCAAACUAUAUAAUUUCUCUAAAAAUUAGAUUAAAUAUAAAUAUUUAAGUUUUAAUUGCUUUCACCAAAUUUUACUUCAAUCCAACUAGCAGAUGUUACUAGAUCUUUGAAUCAAUCACUAAUUCUAAAUUUCAAAUAUCCAAGACCAUUAUCUAUAAAAACCCUCAUAUAUUUCAAUCUAAUUGCUCGAUUGAUCUCAAAUUUUUCACACAUAUUUAUAAAAAGUAAAAAAACAAAUUAUCCAAUUUUUACUUAUAAAUAUGCUACAAAAUUCACAAAAUCCUAAAAUUUGUAAACUUAUUUUUAUUUCUUAAAAUUCAAAUCUAUUAAGUACAUUAUUAAUUUUAAAAAUCCUCUAAAAUCUCAAUAUUAAUCUAAAUGACAUAAAACCAAUACUCAAAAAUCUCUUCUCAAGUUUGCUCUCAAACCUUAUUUUUCAAUUUACAAAAGAACCUUGAAGUUGCUAUAGGUGCUCAGUUUUAUAUUUUAGGAUCUGAUUUUGAUCCUAAUUAGCAAUUAGUCCUCUCUAGAUAUCAAUUCCUGUAUUUUUAGGUAAUUUUUAUUAAAAAUAAAUUCUCAACUCUUUCUUAUAUAUGCUUAUAUCAUUUAUUUUUUUAAUCUAUUUUAUUUUGCCUUAUUUAUGGCCCUAUAAAGCUAAUAGAACAUAUUUUUAUAAAAGGUGAUUCUAACACGAAUAGAUUUUACUACUUGCCUUCAUUUAUCUAUGAUUUUUUAUCAUAUAUUUUUAAUUAAUUUCUUCUAUAAUAAAAUAUUUUGUUAUUUCUUUCACCUAAUGGCCAUUUAUAUAGGUGUUGAUUUUGAGGGUUUUGGGUGGAUAAUGACUUUGUAAGAGCUUUGCAAAGUCAAUGUUGUUUUUGAUGACUUUGAUUUUUGGAAAAUAAAAUAGGAUUAACGUUUUGGGCAACUUCAAGAGUUUAAUAAUACAUCUAUUAGUGAAAUUUUUUAGAUUUGUGGGUAUGAUUGUGCUUGAUGUGUGUUGUGAAUUUGGAUUUGAAAUGUUAGAUUGAAAUGCAUGAAGGUUUUUGUGGGUUAUAGUCUUGGAAUUCAAGGCUUUGAGAACUAGUGAGGUUUUCUUAGAUAUCUAUCGAUCUGCUAGUCCAAUUGAAGUAAAAUUUAUUUAUAAAGGUAGUAGACUUGAUUUUCUAUUCAUGUAUGAAAUUUUAAAAAAAUUGAAUGGUUUGAAAGGGAGAUUAUGGCACUGGAAUUUUAUCAUUUAGAUUUGAGUACGAGGAUAGCUAAGACUUGAGCAGAUAUUAGAGUUGAUCUUUCUUUUAGUGAGUUUGAUCUUUUUCAAAAAAAAAUUGCUUAUUGUCAACUUAAUUGUUAAGUAGUAUGUAAAUUUUGAGUUAAAAUCAUUGGUUCAUUAUUAGUUAUUGAGGUUUAAAUUUGCUAUAGAAAUUUCUUGGGAUUGAUUAGAGUUUUGUUAAAGAUAAGAGUUAGGAUUUUGGAUUUGAUUUAAGGUUUGAUUAGGGUUUGGUUCAGGUUAGAAUCUAUGAAGCUUCUAAAAAGCUUUUCCAUAAUAUAUUAUCAAAUUCAUUUACUUCUACCUACUUCUACCUACUUCUACAUACUCAUAUUCUCUUGAUAAUUAUUGGAGUAUAUAUAGAUGUUUAUGAUAUAGCAUGUGGUUAUAAAUAUUCUUUUAAAAAUAAAUGAGAAAUUAAAAAUACUUAAAUUUGUACAUAUCAAUAUUUGUAGUUUUGUUCUUCAUUAAAUAAAUUAAUCAAUCAAAUUUUUACACAACUUGAAAGCUUAAAAUAAAAAUAUAAAAGAUAAUUAAAAAAACUAAAAAUGGUAUUUAAGAAAUAAUUAUUCAUUAAUAAAUAAUCCCACAUUUUUAUAAAAGGAGUCUAGCAUUGUUUUAUUCAUAUACACAUUAUAAUCCUAUAUAAUUUAUAAAUUUAGAUAAAUUUUAAAACAAUAAUAUACAUAUAUAUUAUUAAGAAGAGAAAAAAUAAGAAAAAAAAUAGAUAGAUACAAGAUAGAAAAGAACUUGAAUGACUACCAUCAAAUAAUUAGUAAGUUGAGGGUCUUAAAUCUAGAUUAGAAUAUAAGACUCUCUCUCUCUCUUUAUAUAUACAUACAUAUAUAUAUAUAUAUAUAUAAGGAAAUGUUAAAAUGACCCAAACUUUUAUUAAAUUGGCCCACUUGUCUAAACUGUCAUUACAUACUUUGUUCUCCAUCCCCGUUCCCUCGUUCCCAACCUCCAUCUCCGUUCUCGGCUACUGUUCCGACUCCUCUCCCUAUCCCUGUUCCCCAUCCUAAGUAAUUCUCAUAUAGAGAAAUGAGAGCACAGAGGAGGCCCUGAAUUGAAGAGUACCUUGUGCAAGGGCUCUAAGAAAUCGAAAGCAGUACAGGCUUCAAGAAGGCGACUAUCCAUUGUUCGAGCAGGUGGAUGUCCGUUCGGCUUCAAGAGCACCAUGGAGAAAGGAGCACAACGGGAAUCUUCGAUGGAAACUAACGUAGCUGCGACAGCAAGCCCUCUCGUAAUCACACCACACGCUCCAGUUCCAUCUGCUGCUGAUGCCCCAGACGAAGUGAACCUCGGACCCGGUACGACUUCGUAGCCCUCAUUUUUCAUCUGUGGAUUGCAAAAGUUCGAUUGGGUUCCAAAUUUGCUUGAUCUAUGUCAAGACGUGAUUAGAUCUUGUGCUGACAAUUUGCUCCUUGGUAUGGAUAUAUUGAAAAUCCAUGAAUUGAUUUUCAUAUUAUUCACGUAUUGUGAAAUAUUUGAUGUCUAUAUAUUUUGUUUGUCAAUGGUAUUUUGGAUUCUUUAUGAGAGCAAUCACAGCUUGGUUGUCAGAGUAUAUAGAUGUUGGUAGUUCUUGCUCUGUAUUGAGAGAUUUCAAUAGGCUGCAUAAUCAGGUUGUUUCUUUAAUAGAUUCUAUAAGUGCAAUUAGUUCAGCUAUUGUCAUUGUUAGACAUCAUUAGACAUCCUUGCUUGUGGUUUCCCUAUGCAAUGGCAAUAGACCCUCGGAUCGCUCCAUCACAACUUGUGUCUCUGCAGUUUGUUUGUGGAAAAGGGUUCCGCAGAGCAUCAACAGUGAAUGAACCACCAGUAUUACCAACACGGAGAUGUCGAUCAAGAGCGUUUCAGUUCAUGAUUCCGUGGGACGGCUAGCGCAUUCCCGAAGAUAUUUGAGAGCAAUGUCAUUGAAGCAUGCCAUAGUCUUGUACCUGGUGAUGGAUGUUGGAUGAACAUCCAAACACAUUAUACUCGAAGAUCCAUUCGUCCUCAGUAUACAAGUUCAUGUUCGAUGGAUCCAUAGUGUGGCGAUAAGUGUUAGACAAUCAGAGAGUGUAAGUUGAUUAGAGAGAGAAUACGAAAAGUGUUGAGCUUUGAUGUCACUAAAGGAGUUUACAAUGGAAUAAAGAAAGUGUUUAAUACCUUAUUCUGAGUGUUUGAUCAUAGAGAGAGUAGAAUUCCUUUAGGUUACGGGCCCACCCUUGAGUGUACUCUGCUCAGACUUCUAGAAAUUGAUAUUUACCUUAUUUUUCUACUUCGAACAAUCAAGAACAUUGCAAACAGACUCAAGGCGAUUAAGUACUCAUUAGUGCAUUCUUCAUCGACCUUGAGCUUCUAGCAAUCUUAUUUUGCAGCAUGUCGUUCAUAGAUCAUCCGAUGUCUUGAUUGUAGUUGUCGAUCGAGGCGAAGAGUUAUAUAUAUAUAUAUAUAUAUAUAUAUAUGUAUAUAAUGAAAUUUUACAUUUAUGAGCAUAGGAUUCUUAUAAUUUUUUAAUAACGAAUUCAAAGGUUCUAAGUUCUAAUCUUUGUAAUCUUUGAUCUGCAUUUUUGUUUUUGUUGAAUUCUUAUUUCUUGUUUUCUUCAUUUCUCAUUUUCUUAUCAUCUUGAAUUCUUGCUACUCUUGAUUUUUAUAUUCUAAUAUCUUCUACUUUUCAAAAUAUUCUAAUAUCUUCUAAUUCAUUUUUUCUUUACUAUUCUUUACUUUAGUAUUUUUGUCAUAGAUAAACAUGACAAAAUACCUAUUAAAAUGUUUAAUGGAACUCAUUUUUCAAUCUAGAAAUACCACAUGGAUAUUAUUUUCAAGCAAAGAGGUUUUACAAGUUGUUAUUGGACAAGAAAAAAAACUUAUUAUUGAUACAAUUUAUGCCUCUCCCAAUAAUCAAGAACUUCUUGAUACUUGGGACAAGAAAAACAUAAUUGCUUGUAUAUUUUUCAGCAAGUCUAUUUCACAAAGAAAACUAAAAAAUACUCACUAGUUGCUCAAUUGAGGCUAAAUGUGGCACAAACUAUGUUUCAUUUAUUCAAACAAAAAUCAAAAAAGCAUAUUUACUCUUUAAGGCAAGUUCUUCAAAUAUCAAAUGCAACCUAUUAACAUAUCAUCUCAUAUAUAAAAUAUAACUGAGAUAACAACCAUUCUUGUAGAUCUUAGGCAUUCUAUUCCAAAUAAAAUGAUAAUUUUAAAGAAUAUAUAUAGCCUACUACUUAGUUACAAUACUAUUAUAGCCACAUAGUCAAAUGUACCUAAAAUUUCUCAAAUUAUAGACAACCUUGAGGAAUAACUUCUAUAUCAUGAAAAUUUAUUCUAUUGCCAAGAUGGAAUCAAUAUUGAAAUAGAUCAUAUUUUCUUCAUAAGAAUAGCAAUCAUAUCUUUUAGAUUUCUUAAUAAAAGAGAAUAAUGACAUAAAGAUAUAAAUUACAUCUGAGAUCUUAAGACAUGAACAAAGUAUUAUAAUUGUCAUAAUAUUAACCAUUGGUUGGUUAAUUGUCCUUAACAAAAAAAAAAAAUGACCUCAAAGUAAAGAUCCUUGUAAAAUAGAUGGUGGUAUUAGUGAGGGCUAAUUUGGAUGAAAAUUUAUAAUCAUCUAAUACUUCUAAAGAAGAACCCAAUUUGAGUUUUGAUUGUGAUUUUAUGUUUUUUAUUAUGGCAACUAUUUUUAGUCAAGUAUUAGUAACUGACUCAUGUCAAGAUACAUGGUUUGCCAAUAGUGGCACAAAUGAACAUAUAAUAGACUACUUUGAAUGAUUCAUCUCAGUUCAACAGAUUCUAGAAGAGAUUCACAUGAUCUAGAUUGAUGAUGAUACUAAGCUCUGGAUGUAUGGCAGAGGUGACAUUUGAAUUAAUUCUUUCAUUAAUAAAAAGUAUUAUAAGGAGAUUACCAAAAAUAUAUUAUAUAUAAUAUGCUUAAAGUAUAAUUUAUUUUUAAUUGGACUUGUUUCAAAAUAAAAUUUAUCCUUUAUUACAUUCCUUAGCAAAUAUGAAUUUUGAACUCUUGAAGGCAAAAAGGUUUUGGAGGGCAUUGGCUUACAAAAACUCUAUUAACUAUCUAUUCAAAUAAUAUCUCCAACUACUCCUCUUCUUUUAUAUGAAACCACCUCACUCUCUCAUGAAAUUGCAUCUCAUGAUUCUAUACAUCAUGAUUUUUUUGUUUCACAAAGCCUUCUUUUUAUUCCACAAGAUUUCUAUCUUAUCUCAUGUGUAUACUUUGCCUUCUCUUCUCCCUUCCAUUGAUUUUGAUUCAACAUUUACAAUUAUAUCAUCUUCACACAAACAUAAUAUACAACUAUGGCAUGUGCAUAUGAACUACACCAAUAUCCCAAUUAUUCAAAAGAUGAACAAAAGACAAAGCUUAUUAGAUUUCAAAUUACUCAAUACAAAAACAUUGACACAUCUUUGUUUAGGAUGCAUAAUGGAAAAACAACAUAAAUUGAUUUAUCUACAUGAUCCAACCAUCCAAUAUUUUACUAUCCUCGGUGAAUUCAUUCAUAAAGACAUCCUAAAUAAACAACAUCAAAUCUUAUUUUUCAAAGGCUCUAUAUGUUAUAUAUUCUAUAAAGAUGAUAUAACAACAUAUUCUUUUGUAUAUUUCACAAAGUAAAAAAAAAAGAAGCAUUUUUAUUUUUCUAACAAGUUGUAAACUUCAUCAAGCAAGACACAAGAUAGAAAAUGUGGGCCUUAUGCACAGAUCAAGGCCCCAAAUUUUGCAACAAAAUUUUUGAUCAUUAUUUAGAAAAAAAUGAGAUUAUAUAACAAAUCAGCAUAAUAUAUACUCCACAAAAAAGUAGAUAUAUUGAACAAGAUAAUUGAACCAUAUUUGAAAUGCCUUGAUGCAUGCUUCAUGGAAAAUCUCUUUAAAAAAACUCUAAGUAGAGGCUAUUAACAUUGCAGUUUAUAUUCUAAAUUGCACCAUUAGUAAUCAACUUAAUGAUAUAACAUCAUACAAACUAUGGUUUUGUGAAAAGCCAUUAGUACAAAAUUACUAUGUAUUUGGCUCUUUCUCAUGGAUCUAUAUCAAUAAGCCAUUCUAAACAAAACUUAAUUCUAAAAGCAUGUACAUAUAUUUUAUUAGUUAUUCUAUCAACAACCAAGCUUAUAGAUUUUGAAAUCCUAUUAUAAAUUUUAUCAUCAAAAGUAUAGAUUAUAAGAUUAAUAAAACUUUUGGCCAUUACAACUUUGAUUUAUAAUAUGAUCUAGGCAAUGAUCUAGUCAAUGUCCUAAUAUUGCUCUUGACAUCUAUACCUACCUCUUUUCAACAACUUCUUUGAAAUUCAAUAAAUGCACCAACAUUGCAUAUAAGUGAUCACUUAAUUUUUGAGUCUAUAUCCAAUAAUGACAACUUACAAACAAACCAUGUAUUUGAUGUCACUCCAAAUGAUGUAGAACAUAACUAUUUAAGUGUAGAAGAUGCUUUGAUCCUAAAAAAAAAAAAUUGAGAAUAUCAACCUACAAAGAAUUACUUUUCAGCAAUACAUAAUGGCACAUCACAAUUUAUUAAUCCAAAGAGAGAUAUUACUCCAAUAGUGGAAGACACUACCUUAACUGCAGGAGAUUUCUCUCUUGAUAUUACUUGACAUGAUUUACAAUAUAUACUAGUAUUUACUCACUCACCAACUGAAUAAGAUUCAUCUUUGGAUGGAUAACUUUACUCUAGAUUCAAAUCUAUUUAAGAACUUCUAAUCAAUACAUCAAAAGUCAUUCAAUAAUAACUUCUUUUUUUCUAAAUCUUCUAAAGUUGAAGAUUCUUUGUCAUCUAUAAUUUCAGAUUUUCUAUAUUCAUAAUCAAUAUUAUAUUCAAAAGCAUUACUAGCAUCUAUUGGUGAAUCCAUUUAGGAACCUUAAUUGUAUAAAAAAGCCCUAUUAUCUUUUGAUUCAAAAUUAUAAAAAAAAAGACAUGAAUUGUGAAUAUACUUCACUUAUAAAAAAAAAUACAUGAAAAUUAGUUCAAAGGCCACUUCAUCAAAAAUUGAUUCAAAAUAAAUGGAUUUACAAGGUCAAAUAUAAGCCAAGUGGUGACAUUGAAAAAUUCAAGGCAUGGUUAAUUGCCAAGGAAUUCACGCAAAAACUAGGAAUUUAUUUCAUUGACACUUACUUUCUAAUGAUCUCUUAUGAUUUAAUGUGUGCCAUCUUUGCACUUAUUACUAUAAAGAACAUGCACAUAAAAUAGUUUGAUAUUGGAACAAUAUUUUUGAAUGAAGUUUUAAGAAAAGAGAUUUAUAUAGUAUAACCUCAAGGUUAUGAAGACUCACAAAAUCCAAUGUACUAUUGCCAAUUAAAAAAAAGAAUACAUAGAUUGUGUCAAUUUCCUAAAUAAUGGAACAUAAGAAUCUCAAAUUUUUUCAAAUAAUUUUUAUUAAUCGCAAGUGAGGCAAAUUCAUGUGUAUAUUGCAAUUAUAGCAAUCUUCAUGCUAUCAUUGGUAUAUAUGUUGAUAAAAAUAUCAUUGCAUCUUUGAUUUUUUCAUUUAUUAUAGAUAUUUUAUAAUAUUUAUAAUCAAAUUUCAAAGUGACUAGUGAACCAAUAGAUUAUUUUGUUGGAUUUCAAAUCCAACAAUGUAAAAUUAUAAGAUCUAUCAUUUUUUUUUAUUAAAAAAGAUAUAUAAAUGAUGUUCUCUUAUGCUUUGGUCUCCAUGAAGCCUAUGAAGUUUCUACUCUAGCUAAUACUUAUAUAAAACUCUAAAAAAAUACAAAUUUACAUGACCCUCAAGUUUCCAUUCUUUAUCAAUAAGGAGUUAGUUGCUUCAUGUAUGUAAUGCUUAUCACAUGCCUCAACAUUGGCUAUACUAUCAAUAAAGUCUUUUUUUUUUCAAGAAUCAUUAUGACGAAGUCAUUAGACUCCAGUUAAAUGUAUUAUGCAAUAUUUAAAACAAACAUGUAAUUAUGGUUUAUAUUAUAAUGCUCAACCUUAGCUACCUCACCUUGUUCGCUAUACAGACAUUGAUUUUAGUAGAGAACUUGAUAAUUGUAAGAGUAGCACUUGCUUUGUGUAUACAUUGGAAUCUAUUGCCAUUGCAUAGGGAAACCACAAGCAAGGAUGUCUAAUGAUGUCUAACAAUGACAAUAGCUGAACUAAUUGCACUUAUAGAAUCUAUUAAAGAAACAACCUGAUUAUGCAGCCUAUUGAAAUCUCUCAAUACAGAGCAAGAACUACCAACAUCUAUAUACUCUGACAACCAAGCUGUGAUUGCUCUCAUAAAGAAUCCAAAAUACCAUUGACAAACAAAAUAUAUAGACAUCAAAUAUUUCACAAUACGUGAAUAAUAUGAAAAUCAAUUCAUGGAUUUUCAAUAUAUCCAUACCAAGGAGCAAAUUGUCAGCACAAGAUCUAAUCACGUCUUGACAUAGAUCAAGCAAAUUUGGAACCCAAUCGAACUUUUGCAAUCCACAGAUGAAAAAUGAGGGCUACGAAGUCGUACCGGGUCCGAGGUUCACUUCGUCUGGGGCAUCAGCAGCAGAUGGAACUGGAGCGUGUGGUGUGAUUACGAGAGGGCUUGCUGUCGCAGCUACGUUAGUUUCCAUCGAAGAUUCCCGUUGUGCUCCUUUCUCCAUGGUGCUCUUGAAGCCGAACGGACAUCCACCUGCUCGAACAAUGGAUAGUCGCCUUCUUGAAGCCUGUACUGCUUUCGAUUUCUUAGAGCCCUUGCACAAGGUACUCUUCAAUUCAGGGCCUCCUCUGUGCUCUCAUUUCUCUAUAUGAGAAUUACUUAGGAUGGGGAACAGGGAUAGGGAGAGGAGUCGGAACAGUAGCCGAGAACGGAGAUGGAGGUUGGGAACGAGGGAACGGGGAUGGAGAACAAAGUAUGUAAUGACAGUUUAGACAAGUGGGCCAAUUUAAUAAAAGUUUGGGUCAUUUUAACAUUUCCUUAUAUAUAUAUAUAUAUAUAUGUAUGUAUAUAUAAAGAGAGAGAGAGAGUCUUAUAUUCUAAUCUAGAUUUAAGACCCUCAACUUACUAAUUAUUUGAUGGUAGUCAUUCAAGUUCUUUUCUAUCUUGUAUCUAUCUAUUUUUUUUCUUAUUUUUUCUCUUCUUAAUAAUAUAUAUGUAUAUUAUUGUUUUAAAAUUUAUCUAAAUUUAUAAAUUAUAUAGGAUUAUAAUGUGUAUAUGAAUAAAACAAUGCUAGACUCCUUUUAUAAAAAUGUGGGAUUAUUUAUUAAUGAAUAAUUAUUUCUUAAAUACCAUUUUUAGUUUUUUUAAUUAUCUUUUAUAUUUUUAUUUUAAGCUUUCAAGUUGUGUAAAAAUUUGAUUGAUUAAUUUAUUUAAUGAAGAACAAAACUACAAAUAUUGAUAUGUACAAAUUUAAGUAUUUUUAAUUUCUCAUUUAUUUUUAAAAGAAUAUUUAUAACCACAUGCUAUAUCAUAAACAUCUAUAUAUACUCCAAUAAUUAUCAAGAGAAUAUGAGUAUGUAGAAGUAGGUAGAAGUAGGUAGAAGUAAAUGAAUUUGAUAAUAUAUUAUGGAAAAGCUUUUUAGAAGCUUCAUAGAUUCUAACCUGAACCAAACCCUAAUCAAACCUUAAAUCAAAUCCAAAAUCCUAACUCUUAUCUUUAACAAAACUCUAAUCAAUCCCAAGAAAUUUCUAUAGCAAAUUUAAACCUCAAUAACUAAUAAUGAACCAAUGAUUUUAACUCAAAAUUUACAUACUACUUAACAAUUAAGUUGACAAUAAGCAAUUUUUUUUUGAAAAAGAUCAAACUCACUAAAAGAAAGAUCAACUCUAAUAUCUGCUCAAGUCUUAGCUAUCCUCGUACUCAAAUCUAAAUGAUAAAAUUCCAGUGCCAUAAUCUCCCUUUCAAACCAUUCAAUUUUUUUAAAAUUUCAUACAUGAAUAGAAAAUCAAGUCUACUACCUUUAUAAAUAAAUUUUACUUCAAUUGGACUAGCAGAUCGAUAGAUAUCUAAGAAAACCUCACUAGUUCUCAAAGCCUUGAAUUCCAAGACUAUAACCCACAAAAACCUUCAUGCAUUUCAAUCUAACAUUUCAAAUCCAAAUUCACAACACACAUCAAGCACAAUCAUACCCACAAAUCUAAAAAAUUUCACUAAUAGAUGUAUUAUUAAACUCUUGAAGUUGCCCAAAACGUUAAUCCUAUUUUAUUUUCCAAAAAUCAAAGUCAUCAAAAACAACAUUGACUUUGCAAAGCUCUUACAAAGUCAUUAUCCACCCAAAACCCUCAAAAUCAACACCUAUAUAAAUGGCCAUUAGGUGAAAGAAAUAACAAAAUAUUUUAUUAUAGAAGAAAUUAAUUAAAAAUAUAUGAUAAAAAAUCAUAGAUAAAUGAAGGCAAGUAGUAAAAUCUAUUCGUGUUAGAAUCACCUUUUAUAAAAAUAUGUUCUAUUAGCUUUAUAGGGCCAUAAAUAAGGCAAAAUAAAAUAGAUUAAAAAAAUAAAUGAUAUAAGCAUAUAUAAGAAAGAGUUGAGAAUUUAUUUUUAAUAAAAAUUACCUAAAAAUACAGGAAUUGAUAUCUAGAGAGGACUAAUUGCUAAUUAGGAUCAAAAUCAGAUCCUAAAAUAUAAAACUGAGCACCUAUAGCAACUUCAAGGUUCUUUUGUAAAUUGAAAAAUAAGGUUUGAGAGCAAACUUGAGAAGAGAUUUUUAAGUAUUGGUUUUAUGUCAUUUAGAUUAAUAUUGAGAUUUUAGAGGAUUUUUAAAAUUAAUAAUGUACUUAAUAGAUUUGAAUUUUAAGAAAUAAAAAUAAGUUUACAAAUUUUAGGAUUUUGUGAAUUUUGUAGCAUAUUUAUAAGUAAAAAUUGGAUAAUUUGUUUUUUUACUUUUUAUAAAUAUGUGUGAAAAAUUUGAGAUCAAUCGAGCAAUUAGAUUGAAAUAUAUGAGGGUUUUUAUAGAUAAUGGUCUUGGAUAUUUGAAAUUUAGAAUUAGUGAUUGAUUCAAAGAUCUAGUAACAUCUGCUAGUUGGAUUGAAGUAAAAUUUGGUGAAAGCAAUUAAAACUUAAAUAUUUAUAUUUAAUCUAAUUUUUAGAGAAAUUAUAUAGUUUGAAAAUAAAAAAUUGGUGUUGAAAGAUCAACAUUCAAGUUAAAGAGGGAGGGUGGCCAAUGACCAAAAGGUUUUAGAAGCUUUUCUUGCAAUUGAUAAGUCUAUUUUUUCUCAAAUUUUGUAUGCUUGUUAAAUACUUAUUAUUUGAAAUUUGGACAAAAUUAUAUUCAAGAUCUAUAAUUUAAUUGAUAUUUAUUGAGGAUUCAAAUAAUUAUAAUAAUUAAUGAAAAUUUACUUGGAAUUUUCUGAGAAUUAUUUAAGAUUUAAGAUUUCAUUAGGAUUUGCUUUAAGAUUAAGAUUUAGGAGUUUUUUAGAAUUUGAUUUGGAUUUUUUUAAGAUUUGAUAGGAUUUGAUCAGGAUUUAUGGUUUUAUUGGAAUUUGAUCUAUAAUUAGGACUUAGAGUUUGAUUAAGAUUUGGUCUAAAAUUGAGAUUUAGAAUUUACUUAGGAUUUUUUUAGGAUUUAGGAUUUUAUUAAGGUUUGAUUUAAAUUGGUUUAGGAUUUCAUUAGGAUUUAAUGAAAGUUAUAUUAAAAUUUAAUUAAGAUUCAAUUAAGAUUUUUAAUUUUAAUACUUAUUUAAGAUUUUUUUAUUAUAUUUAUUUUGUUAACAUGAAUUUAUGAUUUCUUUAUGUUUUUUUUUAUAAGUUCUUGAGACUUCUUUUGGAUUUAAUUAAAAAUUGAUUAGAAUUUUUAUAAUUUGAUUGAAUUUUGUUUAGGAUUCUAUUAUAAUUAUUAUGAUCAACUUAUUGCAAGUUCUAUUUUUUCUUCUACAGCCAAGUAUUUAGUAAAUUCUUAAGCAAAUUUCAUGUAAUACAAUAACAUGUUGUUGUAUUACAUAAUUUCUUAUUUGAGAAUGCACGACUAUUGUAUUAUAUGUUGUCUUGUUUGGAACUGAAUCAAGCACUUGGCUAUGUAAGGUGAAGUUAUGUUUUAUAAAUAUUUAGGAAACCUUAAUAGGUUUUAUCUAUAUAAGAAGAAUGCAAUUCGAAUUUUAAUUAAAAAGUACUUAAAAUCAGUAUAAAGUGCUCAAAAAGACUAUUUUUAUUAACCUCAAUCAUAUAUAAACUCCAAUUGUCUUAUUAUUUUUAUAGUUAGAUAAUUUUGAUUUAUCUUUAUAAGCCCUAACUCCUAAUUUGAUUGUCUACUUGGUACAAAAUGUUACUAUAAUUCUUCUUUAUACUCAAAAAAAUUCAACCCAAUUCAACUUACAAAUUGUGAAAAAAAGUCCAAAAACUGUAUUGAUGUCACUUGGCCGCCAACUUGAAAGUUGAUGCAAAUGUUCUAGUAGCAAUUUCUCCUUCUUCAAUAGUAAACUUCAAUUCAAAAUCAGUGUGUAGCUUGAUAUUGAAGUCUUCCAAUACUAUGAAAAAUUUCAUCUUGAUCCAAUUAGUAGAUCUUUAGAUAUUAUAGAAAUCCUACCCAACUCCAAACUACCAACUUCUAAUACCCUUUUGUAUCAAAACCUAGAUAUCUCUCAAUUGCAUUAUUAAAUUGAUACAAAAUUUUACAUACACUUAUUACAACCAAUCAACUAAAUAUCAUCAAAUUUUAAAUUAUAGAUGUGAUACCAAUUAUGGGAACUAGCCAAGAGUGCUAGCCCUAAUUGUAUUGCAUAAAAUCCAAAUCACCAAUACAAAGUCUUACUUUGAACAAUAAUUUCAAAGUCAUUCAAAAUUCUCUGAAAACAAACCUUAUCCUUCUUGAAUCAACUUAAAACUAGCUCACCAAUGCUAAUUUCCAAUCUUUAAAUGACUCCCUACUUUUUCCUAAGUGAUUGUUUUAGUAGCUAGAUGUCUAAUUUCGACCUUGUUCCAUUGGCGAUCAACCCCCGGAUAUCAAUCUAACCUAUCUUAGGAAUGUUUUUAGUCCAAUCUUAUCUUUAAUUUAAUCCUAGUAUCAACCAUACAAAUUAUUUAUCAAUUUUAGCUUAAUUUUACCAAUUUAUGGUCUUUUUAAGGCAAUAAAAGAAUUUCUAUAGCCUAAAAGGUAAAAUUACUAAGCAACCUUUAAGCUACUAGCUAUUAAGACAAAAAAAUAAACUAAGAGGUUUUUGUAAAAGCCGUGUUUAAAUAUCUUAAAUUAUUAUUGAACCAAGAUGCUUAAAUAUUAAUUAAAAUUUUAUUUUUGAUCAUAUUUUUAUCAUAUAUUUGUGUUACAAUAAGACAUUGCACACAAGACAUUGAGCACUUGGUUGUGGAAGGUCAAGUCAUAUGUUACAAUUAUCUAAAAAAUCCUAAUAGGUUUCAACUAUUACAAAGGAAACAAUUUGAAUUCCAAUGCAAAAAGGUUUAAAGCCAAUGCAAAGUGCUCAAAAAUACUCUUCUUAAUUACCUCAAGCAAAUAAAAAUCCUAAUUAUUAUUUUUUUGUAACUUCUAAUUUUAUCUCUAAUUCCUAAUUUUAUGCAAUAAGUUUCAACUAGCUGUAAUUUCUAAUCUAUUUAUCUAAUUAAUGUGAAAUUUUUUAUAUUAGUAAAAAAAAUACUUCUUUUGUAUGCUUAAAAAAAUUUAAUCCAAUACAACUUACAUAUUAUGAGAAAAAUACAAAAGAACCAUGCUAGUGUCUCUUGAUUGCUUACUUGAAGGUUGAUGAUAAAAUUCGAGCAAUAAUUUCUCUCUCUCCAACUAUUAACCUUAAUUCCAAAUUGGUAUGUAGCUUGAUAUUUUAGUCUACUAAAACCAUACCAAAUUCCUCCUUAUUCCAAUAAGUAGAUCUUUAGAUACUCCAAAAAUCGUAUCUGACUUUAAAUUACCAAUUUUUGGUACUUCCUUACACUUAUAACUAAAUAUCUCUCAAUUGUAUUAUUAAAAUAAUAUAAAAAUUUUACAAAAAAUUAGCAUAUCUAUUUAACUAUGCAUUAAAAAAGUUUGAACUAUAGAUGUCAUAUAUAUCUCAUAAAUCAAUUGAUAGUGUUAGUUCUAAUUUUAUUGCAUAAAUUCAAAAUCAACAAUAUAAAUCUUAAUUUUGUACAAUAAUUAUGAAGUCAUCUCAAAACCUAUGAAAAUAAGAUUUAUAAUUUUGAAAAAAAUCUAAAGCCAAUUCUUUCAUUUAAUUCUUCAAUCUCCAAAAUUUCUCCUAUUUUGUCCUAAGUAAUAGUUUUAAUAGCAAGUUGUUUGAUUUUGAUACAAUCUACAAAUAGUUAUUUUCUAGAUAUCAAUCUAAUCUUUCUUAGGGAUUUUUUAGUACAACCCUGUCUUUAAUUUAAUUUUAGAAUUGAUCAUAUUAAAUAUUUAUCUAAUCUAUUUUAUUUUUAUUAAUUUAUGGUCUUUUUAAGUCAUUAAAAGAUUUUUUUAUAAUCUAAAAGGUAAAUUUUUUAACCAACUUUUAAUCUAUUAGCUAUUAAAAUAAAAAAAUAAACUAAGAGGAUUUCAUAAAAGCCUUAUUUAAAUAUUUAGAAUUAUUAUUGAAUGAAGAUAAUAGAAUAGGAAUCAUAAUAUUAUUUUUUUUGUAUUUUCACUAUAUAGUUGUAUUACAACACAAUAGCUUACUACAAUAUGGAACAAACUUCCAUCUAAAGUUUCUUCAAUAAUAAACUCUAUCUUUACACAAGCUUCCAACAAAGUCUAAUGUAGAUAUAUAAAUGCAAAAAAUCUACUUAGCUCAAUUGGCUAUUAGGAUACUAAUGUUGAUCACAUAGUAUUUUAAUAUGGAUGUUACAAGGAUUGUAAUAUUAUAUCUAAAUCUAUUGGUUUUUUUGUUUAUGAUUUUUUUGUUCUGAAAAACUUGCACUUUGUAUAUUUCAAAGAAUCUCAUCUUUUUGCAGAGGUUUGAGGACAUUUUGAGUUCUUGUAAAAAAAAUCAUACCAAGAUAAAAUCAAAUAGUAUUUAACUGAAAGCAAAGCCAUUAUCUUUUUACUUGUCUUGUCUUGGAGCUAGAGAGGCCUUUUAUAUUCCAAAAGAGGAUAUUAGAUUUGAGACUAAACAUGGUAGGACAUUAGUUUUGAUGAAGUCUAUUAAUAUAUCUUCUCACAAGUUGAGAUAAACAAUAGAUUAUUGGCUAAGAGUCAAGGUGCAAUGAACCAAAGGCUAUUUUUUUAAGAUAUGAUAUGGUUGGAAUAAACUUUGGAAAUAAAGAUCUCUACUAUAAAGUAAUUAUUUUGUAUCAUUUCUUUAUUAUAAAAUAAGUAUGUAAUCUUAAAGAGAGAGAGAGGUGGUGAGCAUCUUGAUUAGAAAGCUAACUCAUUGGUAAUCAUUGUAAUCUGUAUUGAAGGUAGAGAUGGUGAGAAUGGUAAUAAUGGAAAUGGAAGGAGAUAAGGGGUGGAAGAAGUGAGGUGGUUGGAGUCCUACCACUCUAAGGAAUUGUAAUUGAAGAUGUAGAACUAGAGACAAGCCUCUUCGUUGAUUGAGUUCCUCUUCUUUUGUGUCUCUUAUCUUUGUAGAAGGUUAAAAUAGUGAAUCAUUGUCUAUGUAGGAAAGAAUAUCAGUAUCAUGCAUUGACUCAAUGAGCAUGAUAUCAAAACUUCUUUCAUGAUCUCUACACUUUAUUAUUCUACAAACAUUGUGAGUGGAAAUUCAUCUUUUGAUAACAUCAUUUAGUCUAAAUAUAUCCACAUUUUGAAGUUGUCUAUAUUGUUUUAAUGUACAUUUAUGUGGACUUGAUCCAAGCAAGUCUUGUGUACAUCCAUAAUUAUUUGAGUGGUAUUGGUGGAGAGAGAAAUCCUAAUUCUCCUAAUUUCAUUGAAGGUAUCAUUGAUGUAAUGUUUUUAGAGGCUAGAAUUAUUCAUGUAGAUUAUUGGCCAAAUAUGGAGUCAUUUUUUUGCAUCUUUUAGAAUAGAAGAGAAAUUGAGCAGAUCUCACACGUAGACAUUAAUAAGGCUUAAUGGUAUUGGUAGUUUGUUGUUUGGAGAUAGAGUUAAUGGAUUAAAUCCUCCAAAGCAAUGGAAUUUUUAUUACCUUUUCUUUCUUGUUGAUCUUUUUUGACUCUAAUUCAUUUAAUAAAGAGGGAAGAAUUAGAGGAUCCAAUAAGGAAGUUUGUAGUCUGAAGUAUAAGACCAAAGUGUCUACAAUUAUUAUAGUAGUCUAUUCCAUUUCUUAAGUUCUUGUAAGAAAAACCUUAUAUUUCCAUAUUAUAGUAGGUUGGAUGGUUGGAAGUAUCAAGAUGGAUAAUGAUGUGAUUAAAAUGUUUUGUUUUGAUUUAUUUUUUUAUGUUCCUAUUUGAGUCUUACAAAAGCAUUAUACAGACUUAUAUUCUAGUUCUAAACAAAGGCUACACUAAUGAGGGAUUUCUUUGUAUUCUAUUUUAAUUUCAACUUUCUUUUUGAGAAUGAGAUUAAUAAUGCUAGAGCAUUCUAAUGUGUGACAUCAUUGUUGAAGGUUCAAAUAGGUUGACAUUGAUCUAGUCUUGUAAUUCCAAUUGCAAAGGAUGCUUUAUCAAAGCAAAUUUGAUGACAGUUAAGCGAGAUAUAACUUGGACAUCUUUAUCAGUGAUGACAAAAAUAUCUGGUGAAAGAGUAGGUCAAAGCUUAGGUUCAGAAGGGAAUUAUGUGGCCUUAACUAUCUUGGACGAUUUUGUCCAAGGUGAGGGUCAGGAAAAUGUAGUAGUAUCUCCUAUGUGGAAGUACAUAUACAAUUCAAACUUGUGCUAUACUACUGUCAAUAAACUAUUCAUAAAUCUACACUGAAAACAAAACAAAUACUAAAUCAGAAAAUAACAAACAAAAGAAACUUCUAGGGUUUUGAAGUGCUUCACAAUUUUUCUUGAAAUUCCCACUACUUGAUUCCUCAAAUACGUCCAAGUCGUCCGAUGCACGUUCUAUCGAUCCAAGUAUCCUACAUACAAAAAUGAACAGAAAAUAUUUGCAGAAGGUCCAAAGAGCAUCACCACCGGUUUGAGCCUGAUGGAUGGCGUGAAGGCAUGGUGCACAUGCCAGGGCAGCUGCAGUUCCCACCUGUUGGCGCCAACGGGGACGGCAGAAAGAGGGGCAGGAGUGGGGCCAGGCGGAGCCCUUGGGGCAGCCAAGUGGCGCCGGGCCUGGCUGCUACCGACCAUAGGGCGGGGUGCUCUGUAUCCGCAAGGUCCGGCGCCACAUGGCAGUCCCACGCGAGCUCCUCCUGGGCCCCACGGCGAGGAUGGGCCCGUCCUCACCAAGCCAUUUGCACGGCAGGCUGGAGACCAAACGCCCAGAUCCGCCAGGCCCGUCCUCGCCUCCGAGCUCGAGCGGGCAUGGUGGGGAAGUUUUUGAGGGCGGGGGAGCGCAGCCGCCCGAUGGCGCAAGAGUUGGCGCUACCGGUGGCCAUGCUCUUGGUCAGACCCUGGCGGCGGGCCAGUUUUUUUUUACUGAGCCCCAUCCUACCUUUCGGCCAAAGCAAUGCCGCCAUAAUGGAGCAUUGGUUGUCGUGUGUGUUUGCUUGUUUUCCAUCCUUUUGUCACACAAGGAAACCACCAAUAUCCGAUGAUUACUAAUAGGGAGGUAGAUCCUGUAUGUUCGAAGCAGACGUCCAUUCUCAGUGAUCAGUGACUCCAAAUACUCAACCUGGACGCUGGUAUGUUCGCUGCUUCCGUCGCUCUCACUCUUGCGUACUUCCCAAUCUCAGCACCCCGCUCACUGGCAACUCAAUUCUUCCCCUCGCUCGCUCGCUCCCUUGCGUACAAUACAAUCACCGUUUUUCGUUUUGGAUCGCCUUCCAGCCUUUUCUGCGCUCAUGACACUUAAUAAUUCAAACCUCGCGCGUGCUUGGUCGGUUUCUUAAAUUACGUUUCUUCUGAUGGCUCACAAUGUCAACUUGGUUCAGCCUAGUAUAGUGAGUUGUAAUCUUGGAUUUGGACAUUGUAGGAGAUGUGAGACCGUCGUCGCUGUAGGAGUCAUUGGGAGAGGAUUAGCUUCGGUGCUCUAGACUUUCUUUAUGUUCGCUAUUUGGAAUCUCUAGUGCAGUGUCCCGGAGGCUUCUGUAAGCUUUGAGUCGUGAGCUUAAAUUGUGUAAUGUAGCAACGUUUUUGGAGGAAGUAAUCGUGUAAUGUAGCAACGUUUUUGAAAUGGAGAAGAAUGUUAUUGAGACUUGAUUUAGAACUUCGUAACGCUUGAAUCGGUGAUGAGGUGUUUUUCAAUCCGAUUUUCACUCAUCCUGUGUAUGAGAAUCAGUAGUUAUCACUGUCAGAUUUGCCUUAGCAAGUACCAACUUAGCCACAUAAUUCUUACGGAGCAGAAGUGACCAGACAGAAGUUUGUUUUCAGGUCUAGAGUGUGAAUCACACGCUGCAUUCCUUCUCCGCUUCGUAUGAUUUCAUGAAAACUGUGUAAAGAAUGCGAACUCAGGAAGAGAGGAAGGCUAGUGCAUCUGCACGGAGCGCCUCUAAGCCACUCCUGAUCGACGUGAAUGGUUUUGGAGCAUCAAUGUUUGACAAGUGUUCCUAGUUCUUCCAAUUGAUUCGAUGGUUGUCAAUUUCUGAGAUGAUUUUUCUGCUGUCGAAUCAUGAUGCUUUUGGUGACAUUCACUCAUGAUCGUUACAAUCAUUCAUGUAGAAAUAGGUCCCCCUCCGAUCGUGCAUCUAUCGAGGCCUCUGCUGCUCGCAAUGCUUCGUUCAAAUGGCAGCUGGGGAGGCGUCGGGGCUACCGCCUCUUGAAGAAGCGACUGUUCGACUGGGUAGGAUACCUGCUUUGCUUAGUGCACACAACAGCUUGCGAGCGCCAAAAAGCAACGUAGGAGCGUCUCUUGCCAUCGGUCUCCUCGUGCCUUUCUUGCUCUCAUUGAUGAUCUCCAAGACAAGAAAGAAAGGUAAGGUCCGUGCUGUUACUUGUGAAGUGGGAGGAGAUCCCGGGAUUGCGAAACGCAAUCUCAGAUUUCUUCGCUUGGUGGAAAUGCCGUGGGAGGGUACCGACACUUUGGCUGACCCGUUUGAGCAUGCUUGUCACCAGGCCAAAGGCAACAAAUGUCUCGGAACACGCGAAUUCAUUAAGAUGGAGACUGAAACUAGUAACGAUGGCCGACGCUUGGAGAAGGUUACGUUGGGAAAAUACAGCUGGUUGACGUAUUUCGAGGUGUUAACGCGAGUGGAGAAUUUUGCGUCAGGGCUUGUUGCUCGCGGUCACAAGGAGGGAGAAAGGGUCGCUAUUUGUGCUGAAACUUGAGCUGAAUGGCUUCUCGGCCUUCAGGUGCGACUCCAGCACUAUGAUUCAGUUUCCCAGAUAAUGUUGUGUCGGAAGCUGUGGUGAAUCGUCGUCUUUCAUGCAAGUCCAUUGUCCAGGAGUCGAGAUCUGAUAAUUCAUGUCUUGGGUUGAAAUUUCAGGCGUGCUUCCGGCAAAACUUUCCAGUUGUUACGAUCUAUGCCUCGCUAGGGGAGGACGCAUGUUGCACUCUUUAAUCGAGGUGGGAGAGGAAACUUGAGAAACGUUGCUAUCCUCUUUCAUAGCGCAUUAUGUUUUCAGUCGCUUUCGGUACUCAUAAUCGAUUGCUCAUUGUCACACUAGCAUCUCUCAGAAUAUUUGACGUUAAUCAUAACAGGUCCAAUACUGCCCACUGUUUUCAAUAUCCAUUCUCCUGCAUGGGCUGGAUAAGUUGUGCUUUCUCUUGUAAUGAGAUAGUGUUCAUCGCAGACAGAGGUUAUCACAGUUAUCUGUGACUCCAACCAACUGAAGAAGCUGUUAUUCAAGAGUGACAGGUGCGAUGCUGUGAAGCAUGUUGUAUACAUGGAGGACAAUGAUGCACGGGUAUGCCAAAGGUAAAACAAGCUCACAUUGGAUAUACGCCGAGUCAAAAUGCUACCAUUCACAAGUUGUUGUAUAUUCAUUCAACUUGAGCCAACGAGUUAGCAUAUUCAAUUAACUUGAGCAUAUCAGAUUCCUUACCAUAUCUAAUUGUUCGAAGCAGAUCAUGUGAAGAAAAGCUGGGUCCUUCAAAGUUCCUGCUUUUCAGUGUUUAUCAUCACGAUUUGCAUUUAACGUCAAAAUAGUAUGGGUGAAUAUUUCAGUUCGAGUAGAUUUGAAGGGAUGUGUCAUCGUGGAUAUGCUCGAAAGGUUCACUUGGUAGUUUCCAAGUUGCACCAUGUUCACAGUUUGUUGAAAUGGCAGGGUGUGAUGAUGACACAUGCAAACAUAGAUGCCACAACAGCCAGAGUUAUGACGAGUGUCCCGAACAUGUCAAGCAACGAUACGUACUUGGCUUACUUGCCUCUCGCUCAUGGGUUGGAACUUGCUGCCGAGGUAAACUCUCUAUAGAACUGUUGCUCUCUAUUUCCAUGAAAACCUUGUAUUUGUAUUCACAAAUGCGAAGAUUAUCUAUAAAUCAAUCUGGAGUAUUAAGACCUGGUUAGUUUUUGAUCAGAUUGGAAAAUUGCCAGAGUUGUCUGGAGUGACGACUUGCUGGCAACCUGCAACAUUCUCACAAGUAGAGAGACUGAGUGGAAGCUUGUGAUUGUGUUUCAAAUUUAACUAAGUGCAACGUUUUUCCCAUUCAGAUCACAAUGCUUGCGGUUGGAGCGAGCAUUAGCUAUGGUUCACCUUUGACUCUUCUGGAUACCUCAAACGAGAUCAAGCCGGGGACGAAAGGAGAUGCGUCUGAGUUGAGGCCCACGUUAUAUACUGCAGUUCCUGCAAUUUUAGAUCGAGUUCGGGACGGAGUGCUGAAGAAGGUACUCUCCGCAGUUUAAAUCAGAGUUCAAACCUGAUCUGCAUGACUCCUUCUGAAGCUUAGGUUUGCGGCUGCGAUUGUGUGAUUCUGCCGUUUCUCCGUGCAGGACUGCAGGCUCAAUAUGUUUCUAAGCACAACGUUAUGAUAUACGAGGCGCAUGUAUGUGUUAUAUCCAACACGAGAAUGAAGAGAGUGUUUAGGUCUGUAUUCUGUGGGGUAAGGUUGAUGGGGUAGGGGGUAUGGUGAAGACGCUCUUCAAUACUGCUUACAACCGCCGGGUUAUGGCCAUCGAAGGAAGUUGGCUGGGAGCUUGGGGUAUCGAGAAGGUGCUCUGAGACAAGUUGAUCUUCAAGAAAAUCAAGCAUCUUCCCGGCGGGCGUGUAAGGGGAAUGUUUUGUGGAGGAGCCCCGCUGUCUGCACACACACAGCGUUUCAUCAACGUCUGCUUUGGGUUAUGGUCUUGACUAGUAUGCUCUUGCCGAUGCGUGUCUCAGUAUUCUUGAAGCUGCGACUGAAUAUCAGAAAUUUGUGUUUCUUAUUUUGGAAUUGUCGUUAUGGUUCUGUUGAUCGGGGCUCCGGCUAAAGUCUUCGUGUGUGUUCGUUUUUGUAUGUGCGUGAAACUAACUGUUUCCACGGCAUGUGUCAGUGUGUACAACUCGGUUCACUCGGUCUGAUGCCACGAUGCUCUGGUACCUUAACUUAAGAAACUGCGUGGGUUAUUUUCGGCAGAGCUACAAUCGGUCAAGGCUAUGGUUUAACAGAGACUUGUGCUGGUGGGACAUUCACCGAAUGGGAUGAUCGCUCCGUUCGUCGUGCGGGGCCUCCGACACCUCACUGCUACGUCAAGGUACUAUUCCCGCAAACAUUCAUUGUUUUUCCUUCUUGUCGAACAAGAUGGAUCGUGAACCGUGUUCGUUAAAUUUGUAAGGGUAAUUGGUUGAUUGUAAGCAUCAAUGUGUUCUUCAACCUGUCCGGUGUUUUUAAUGUUCAUUGACUGCAAAAUUUAGUCGCUUUACGUAUUUUCUAUUUGAGAUGCGCCAUGCAUUUGUGACUUUGCAGCUGGUUAAUUGGGAGGAGGGCAAUUAUAAGACCACAGAUGAUCCACCGAGAGGAGAGAUUGUUAUAGGUGGACCUAGUGCGACAUUGGGUUACUUCAAAAAUCAAGAGAAGACGGAUGAGGUCUUCAAGGUGUGGUUGAAUAAUCUUCACUAAUGUUUUUAACUCUUAUUCAAUACAUUGGAAUGAAAUGUACUCUUGAGUUUUCCACCGUCGUCGGAAGCAUGGGUAGAUUACAUCGACCAUUAUUAAAGUUUUUGUUAGGGAUUGUUUUGUGCUAGCUUUGGGGAUAAUUUUUGCUGAAGCUUUUCGCUAAUCGAUAAAAUCGUUUUUCUCAUUGGUCUACUUUUUGGUUCUUCCGCCUUUGAUAUUCGUUUUAGUUCUUGUUUGUAUAGUUUCCUUAGAGUUUUCUGGCGACUUUGUCAAGGUGGAUGAGAGAGGUAUGCCGUGGUUCUACACCGGCGAUAUUGGGCAGUUUCACGGCGAUGGUUGUGUUGAGAUCAUUGACCGCAAGAAAGAUAUUGUGAAACUCCAAGCUGGAGAAUACGUGUCACUUGGCAAGGUAUGAAUUUACAUGUGAUUGAUCUAUACUGCUGUCAAAAGUGUCCGUUCAACGUAUGUAUUGUAUUCUGUUGUACAGUUCUGAGGGUUGAAUGUUUUGUCUAUUCUUUGUCGAAUCUUGUACCUUACUCUUUCUUCUUAAUUUAUUGCAGGUGGAGGCAGUGCUGAUAGGCUCUGUAUAUGUCGACAACGUCAUGCUUCACGCUGACCCGUUCCAUAGUUAUACUGUCGCACUUAUAGUGGCAAACCAAGCUGCGCCCCAGGAUUGGGCCCAAAAAGCAGGUGUUUCUCUGAUUUUGCUGACUUGUGCACGAGGUCGGAGACAUGCAAAGAGGUUCUUGCUUCAGUGAGCCAGGUUCGAGAACCAGACUGAUUUUUCGACGUUCUUUUCUUUUAAUAGACUUCCACAUUUGCUCAACUACUGAAUGAGAUUAUACAGGAUUAUGCAUCAGUGUUCAUGCCUGUCGUCAUGGGUAUAUGGAUUUGUUGUAUUGAUCAUCUUCAAAUGAAUUUCUGUGUGUGUUUGGCAGGUGGCUAAGCAAGGAAAACUGCAGAGGUUUGAGAUUCCAACCAAGGUGAAGCUUCUCUGUAAUCCUUGGUCACCUGAAAAUGGCCUGGUUACUGCUGCGAUGAAGCUUAAACGAGAGGUCCUCAGAAAAGCUUUUGCAUCCGACUUGGGAGUGUUGUAUUCCUAAAUGACAAUCUCUGGUUGGCCUAUGUUUAGGUUAAAUCUUCAUUUCUUUAGACGAGUGUCAAGAGGUAUUAAAAGUGGUGAAAUUUUCUUUUUGUCCUCAAGAAAUUCGAUUUCCUCAAAGUCUGGUUGCUUGAUUCAUUGUUGCUAGCAUCAGGCUUUGGUUGUCGAGGACCAGGGAGUAACAUGCCCUGAUCUUGUAAUUGGAUGGUACCAAUGAAAGUCAAUGUUCUGCUACAGUUUUAAAAUGUUCCCUUACACAAGCCCUAAAUCAGUCAGCGUUGUUUCUUAAUGAUAAUACUUACAAAAUCAGAGGAAUUCUUGUGUUAUUUCAUUAUUAUUAUUAUUAUUCCUCCAUUUUCCUUCACCCAGUACGAACAAAAAAAGGUAUUCUACCAAAGCGGUGGUGGACAACGUGACAAGGAAUUUGGAUGCCAGUCAGUGUAAUUACUUUACAUGACGCACAAGUUGUUUCUACAGAUUUGUUUUUGUACCUGGAGUGAUUUCUUUCACUGUUGAGCAGGUUCUGGUGUACAAUUCAUGGGUCAGGUCACGGAGCGAGUUAGCAAAACCUUGUCUCUGUGCGAUGGGCAAAAUGUCAUAAGUGAUCUAAAAGCAGAAAAAGAACAUUCAAAUACAAGUGUUGACCCACUUCUACAGUCCUUUGUGUGUUUUUAAUUCAAAAUGCAAUCCAAUAUUUCACUUUCUAUGCUUUAGUUGUACGUCGAUUUUAUUCUGCACCAAUUAAUGUUGCAUAAUGUAAUUGUUGAAUGUAAUUGUUAAAGACACAAAUUGCACGAUAUUCUUAUCCAUUCGCCCCACCAAACCAAAAAUAUGAAGAGAAUGACGUGUUGCAAAAGACGCAUGAAGAACUAAGCGUAGCUUUCCUUAUCUAUCAUAUAUUUGAGAGCACCUAUCAAGAUAUUCUUAUUUUAUUUUUUAGAGACAGCGAAUGAAAGGGCACAAGGAAAAGGUUGCAGGUGAACAUGGAAUGCAAACUAUUCUAUCGUUUUAAUACUUUUUACAGAAAAAUAUUGUUCUGAAAUUCACAGCACAACCACCAAAUUCCUCUAACCUACAUCUUGAACUGGGAAGGCUACUGCUAUAAGUUUCCGGUUAUCGCGGCUGUGAGAAGAUCGAGGCAAGAGAAGCGAUUGUCGUUUUGGUGUGGCCUUAGAAAGCACUGAAACAGUAUCCGUAAGGGUGGUUUAGGAGAAAGCGCUGAAGUUUAUCCUCUUUUCUUCGUCAUCGUGACGCCCCCAGUCUACGGCCCUACUUUCUCUCCCUAGCGGACGAAAGCGCCACAUCACCUCGGUCUGCGACAGUCCUUGGUGUCCGAUCGAAGCAAGUUGCAGCCUCCGAGCAUGAAGGCUUAGCCCACAAAUGAGCGUGAAUGGUUGUCCUACUCCUAUAUGUGUCAGCUCUGAGUUCCGCAUGUUUGUCGCAAGAAGAGGAAGAAGAAACCCAAGUCUAGCCAUGUGAGAGUGUCGGUUGUAAUCGGGGGGAUACUGAAUCGAAAAUGAGCCUUUGUCGAUGAUGGGUUAAGGUUUGUGUUGUUGACUGAGGUGCAUGAAUUAGUCGAAGGAGGAGAAGUUCGAGUCUAGCGCGUGUGAAAUUCGUGCGUAGUGGGUGCAGGGGCUGGGUAGAGGCUCCCGUCGAACAUUCAGAAGAAUUCAGGAGGUGGGUGACAGGUCGUUUUCGCAGACCGAGCCGCGGUGGGUCUGAAAGGGUUCCAAAGGGUUUGAAUUUCGAAUUCGCUGGACGGCACUUGCCCUGCAUUCCAGAGCGUUGGAGUAGGUUAGGAGGGAUCAAUUGGCGUGCUUGUGGAGGAAAAGAGGAGGAGGAGGAAAGUGGCUUAUGUAAUUCGUGAAUCGAGGGUUUUGUUUGGCCGUGUCUUGUAUAUCUUUGCGAUAUAAUCAAGUGUUGGGGUAUAUUUACAUGAGGUGAUCAAUCAGGGUGGAGUCCUUGUGAUGAUCUUGGAUUUGAGGUGAAUUCUGAGAAAGGUAUUGAGCACUUGUUUGCUUUCAAGAUGAUGGUCUCUUUCAUCACCAGGGGAAUUAUGUAAGUGCCGCGUACUCUCUUCUUUUCUCUUUUAUCCGUUUCAAAGAAACUCCCUAUAAGCUCUCCCACGAUAAAUAGAUGCUUCUUGACAACUAAACUGUAGGUGCAUCAUGAAUUAUGUGUAAGGACGUGUAGAAAAUAUAUUCAUGGUGUAGUACUUAACUGAAGAGUGGUUUUUAAUUGAAUACUGCAAAUUCAUGCACUGCCACAAUCAUUUUGUGAUGGGGAUUAAACUUGUGAGUCAAGUUAUAUAGUUAGAGAUUUCUCAAAUGUGUUGAUACUAGUUUAGUUGAUUUUGCAGAAUGUUACUCGGCUACGUGUACCCCGCGUAUGCAUGCUUCAAGGUAGUGGAAAGGGAUAGGCCCGAUUUGGAACACCUUCAAUUUUGGUGUCAGUAUUGGUAUGUCAUCAUUGAUUUUGUUGCUGAUAGAAGAAACUGCGCUUUGUUUUGUUUUGUUUUUUUUUUUUUUUUUUUUGUAUUUUGUAUUUGUUUUUGGAUGAUUUGGUAUCCACCAUUGAGGAUUGGUGUUAUCAGGGAAAAGUUCGAUAAGGUACUCGUGAGAACCUUGAUUAGCUGGUGGCUAUUUCGGGUGCCUCUGGUUUGUGUCUUUUUAAUUCCAAAUUUUAGGGGAAAAUUAGUUUUCACCCGAUUUUCUUUGUCCUCCAGGAUAAUAAUCGCAGCCCUGACAGUAUUCGAAAGGCUGGGGGACGUUCUUGUUUCCUGGUAUGUUUUAAAUCUCUCGUGCUUCUCUUUCUCAUUACUUGCUAACUUUCAAACUCUGCACGCCUGCUUCAUAUCUUAAUCUUAAAGAAAUUAAUUUUACGCGAGUUGGGUUGUCAACUCUAAAUCAUAAGACACGAGUGAGAAUGGUUCUAAGAUUGCUGUUAACUUGAGGAAGAGAAUUGCGUUGGAAGUACCAAACGUGAUCUCGUUUUUGGAUCUGAAGUUGCAUAAAUUGAAACAAUUUGGAGACUUUAACAUCUGAAUUCAUUCUUCCGUCUCCUUCCUACGCCUACGUGGGAUGUAAUAGUCUACGUUGCACUUUAUCUUCUAAUUCCUGGAAUCUUGUAAUCUUAGGGUGCCAAUGUACAGUGAGGCAAAGUUGGCUUUCAUCGUAUACCUCUGGCACCCAAAUACUCUGGUACCACUUGGCUCUUCCUCUUUUCUUGAAUACUCUCUGAGCGGCGGCUUUAGCAGCAUUGUGCUUUUUCUUUUUCUUUUUCUUUUGUGUGUGUGUGCAUAUCGAUCAAGCCCAAGUUUUUAUGUAAGCUAUGGUUGAGAUAUAAUGCCACCAGCAUAAGAUAAUAGCAAGCAUCCCGUAUAACGUUUUGCUUGACUGGUUUAUGGUUAGUAACAUUAGGUUUUCAGUACCUCAUAUUUCCUUCUUCUUUCAUCUUCUUCUUCUUCUGCUACCCUUAUUUUUAUUCUUUUCCUUUUUUUUUUAUUUUCAUUUCAUUUUCAUCUUCUUCUUUUUUCUAUUCCAUUGGUUACCUAUUUGUUAAUUAAUUGGUUUUCCUUCAGGGUACAAAGUAUGUGUACUCAACGUUUUUGAGACCCAUCGUGGCAAGGCAUGAGGCUGAGAUUGACCACCAUCUGCAUGAAUUGACGACUAGAGGUGGAGACUUGGCCUAUUUCUGGUGGCAAAAAUGUUCAAAUUACGCUCAAUCCAGGAUAUAUGAGCUUUUCUCGUAUGUAGCGUCACAACCAAACAGAACCCAGCAGGGUUCUAUUGCCCGUCAAAGUCGUCGUCGCCCCAAUUUUCAAGGUCCUCCACGUGGACCCCCACGAGAUCCUUACCAGGUAUGCUUUUAGACGUUACUUUUGUUUUGCCUAGAGUUGUUUCGAAUCAUACUGGACUUGAAGCUUAUUAUGUAAUGAGAACAAUCUGAUUUUAUACUAAAAACUCGUUAGAUAGAACAGGUUUUUAUAUGAGACUUUAACUUGCACUCAUACUAAAUCUUACAAUGUUGAUAUUGCUACUGCAAAAAGCGCGUCCUUUAGAACACAUGAGAGAGAGGAAUGAUUCAGAGGAGUAUGCUGUUUCUCGAGUGCUCGUUUGCAAGAUAGCUGCAUCUUCACUCAUUUUACAGCAUCUUAUUCACUAGUCAGGAUAUGUUCUAUGCAAUCUACUAUUAUCUCCUGUAAUGUAUCAACUUCAUAAUCACCUUUUGCUCUCUGCUCAUACAGGGAGGCCCUCAAGUUUACCCCCCAGCUCCACCAGCGGGAUAUCCUGGAUCUACUCGUGCGGGUUAUCCUCCAGUGAACGCUAAUACCCUAGAGGAUUCAGACUCGGAUUAUCAUGUCGUCGAAAAAAUUGUAGAAAGUCGUCCGGAAGGCCGUCCAGAAGGUGGAAUGAAGAGUAGGUCCGAGCAAGAAGUGCCUCCUCACGUUGGCAACAUAAGAGAACGUGUUCGAGCAGAUGAUUCCGGUGGUUCCCGGUGAGAAGUUCAUAACAUGCUAGACCCCUCAAGUCGAGUCUAAAUUAUCUGAAAAUGCUAAUGUUUUUCUGGUUGUGUGACUUGGUAGGAAUUCUUUAUUGUUGACUGUUACGGAAUUUUUAAAUUAACAAGAUGAACAGUGUGUAGGAUGACGAAAUCUCUGGUUGGUAUAGUGAUUGCUGAAAACCACUAAUAAGAUCCUGAUACUUGCCAGCUAUUGGUUUGAAAACUCAAGGAGAAUGGACCACUCUAGGUGUAAGAUCUGUCAUGGAGUUAUUUUUAGGGCUCAGACUAAUUGCAGAGUGGUGAACUUGCAGUUUUGUAUCUGGUGUAAUGAAUCUUCUGCCUUUUCUCUAGUAAAAGGGCUUAACUUAAAAUCUUUGUUCAUGUGAAUACAGAUACUUGUACGGAUGGUUGCCUGGUUGGUUUGGCACGUCUUCAGGGAAGGAAGACUGAGGUUUAUCGGUUUCCAUGGAACACUUACUGUUGUUUAAGACUUUUCACCUUUUCAAUCAACUCAACCAGAUCUUAAACCACGUUCAGGUUAGUCUUCUUCUUUGAUUUUGGUUGCUAAUUCCUCGUUGAGGUGGUAUUUCAUUAAUGAUGUAAUUUUGUUAGUGUCUAACCUACCACUUUAUGCAUGUGCAUGCACUUUGCAGUCUACAGCGGGCGUUAAUGCAGAGUAAGAUAGUGGUAGCUGUAAAUACAAGUCUUUUUCACCCUUUUCAGAGUAAAACAGUUCCCAGUACUCAUAAGUUGUGGCAAUUGAUUCUCUGGUGACAUAUAGGAGACAUUCAAAUAAACCCUGUUGGCUGAAGUUAUAUGGGUGGAAUUUUCUGUCUCAAGAAUUUCCAUGGCUACUAGUUGUAGUAUUAGCUUCAGAUAUCCUACAAUAGUUAAUCAUCAGUUUUCUCCUUCAACUGUUUCAAGCAAUCGGUAGGUACUGCUGCGAUAACUAAUAUCUGUCUUAACAUAAUGUAUUAUAAUGCUAUAUAUUUGUAAAAUGAGAAUUAUCUGCUAUCUCCAGCCGUAUUUCAGAGGUUGGAAACUUAGUGUUUAAGCAUGGCUCACAAAAAAAAAAAAAAAAAAAAAAAAAAAAAGGGUAUUUAGUGCAUGGAGUAGGUUUUCAUAAACUUGUGGUUGAAAUUAAGGACGUUUGACGUAAAAUGUGUAAUAAAGCAUUAUUUACUUCUGUACAAUAUCUCCAUGAGUUCCACAGAUACUUUCCUAGGUGAUUCAACGAGUUCUGAUCCUGAGGUAUGUGUAACCUAAUGUCACUCAGAAUAAGUUUUUCCUUUAAUCAACCAGUGAAAGGUCAACAAUUUGAUUUUAUGCCUACCACUAAGGUCCUAAUCCACUCAGAGGCUUGCUGCAACUCCUGCAUAAGCUCAAAGUAUGGGCAUGUCUUGGCUCUUGUUUUGACACAUGAAUCU